AGUGAACGCUGGCGGUAGGCCUAACACAUGCAAGUCGAACGGCAGCACAGUAAGAGCUUGCUCUUACGGGUGGCGAGUGGCGGACGGGUGAGGAAUACAUCGGAAUCUACUUUUUCGUGGGGGAUAACGUAGGGAAACUUACGCUAAUACCGCAUACGACCUACGGGUGAAAGCAGGGGAUCUUCGGACCUUUCGCGAUUGAAUGAGCCGAUGUCGGAUUAGCUAGUUGGCGGGGUAAAGGCCCACCAAGGCGACGAUCCGUAGCUGGUCUGAGAGGAUGAUCAGCCACACUGGAACUGAGACACGGUCCAGACUCCUACGGGAGGCAGCAGUGGGGAAUAUUGGACAAUGGGCGAAAGCCUGAUCCAGCCAUACCGCGUGAGUGAAGAAGGCCUUCGGGUUGUAAAGCCCUUUUGUUGGGAAAGAAAAGCAGCAGGUUAAAACCCCGCUGUUCUGACGGUACCCAAAGAAUAAGCACCGGCUAACUUCGUG
RNAcentral lists this ribosomal RNA (492 nucleotides) under uncultured bacterium. Its description in RNAcentral is "partial 16S ribosomal RNA". It matches the Rfam family "Bacterial small subunit ribosomal RNA", at positions 29 to 507 of the family's 1533-position model. The record is from RNAcentral.